Molecule: ribosomal RNA, 253 nt
Filed under: uncultured bacterium
Lineage: Bacteria
Description: partial 16S ribosomal RNA
Rfam family: Bacterial small subunit ribosomal RNA
Source: RNAcentral
UACGGAGGGUGCAAGCGUUAUCCGGAUUCACUGGGCUUAAAGGGUGCGUAGGUGGGUUGGUAAGUCAGUGGUGAAAUCUCCGAGCUUAACUUGGAAACUGCCAUUGAUACUAUCAGUCUUGAAUAUUGUGGAGGUCAGCGGAAUAUGUCAUGUAGCGGUGAAAUGCUUAGAUAUGACAUAAAACACCAAUUGCGAAGGCAGCUGGCUACACAUAUAUUGACACUGAGGCACGAAAGCGUGGGGAUCAAACAGG